RNAcentral lists this ribosomal RNA (1372 nucleotides) under uncultured bacterium. Its description in RNAcentral is "bacterial SSU rRNA". It matches the Rfam family "Bacterial small subunit ribosomal RNA", at positions 28 to 1381 of the family's 1533-position model. The record is from RNAcentral.
GAUGAACGCUGGCGGCGUGCCUAAUACAUGCAAGUCGAGCGAACGGACGAGAAGCUUGCUUCUCUGAUGUUAGCGGCGGACGGGUGAGUAACACGUGGAUAACCUACCUAUAAGACUGGGAUAACUUCGGGAAACCGGAGCUAAUACCGGAUAAUAUUUUGAACCGCAUGGUUCAAAAGUAAAAGACGGUCUUGCUGUCACUUAUAGAUGGAUCCGCGCUGCAUUAGCUAGUUGGUAAGGUGACGGCUUACCAAGGCAACGAUGCAUAGCCGACCUGAGAGGGUGAUCGGCCACACUGGAACUGAGACACGGUCCAGACUCCUACGGGAGGCAGCAGUAGGGAAUCUUCCGCAAUGGGCGAAAGCCUGACGGAGCAACGCCGCGUGAGUAAUGAAGGUCUUCGGAUCGUAAAACUCUGUUAUUAGGGAAGAAUAUAUGUGUAAGUAACUGUGCACAUCUUGACGGUACCUAAUCAGAAAGCCACGGCUAACUACGUGCCAGCAGCCGCGGUAAUACGUAGGUGGCAAGCGUUAUCCGGAAUUAUUGGGCGUAAAGCGCGCGUAGGCGGUUUUUUAAGUCUGAUGUGAAAGCCCACGGCUCAACCGUGGAGGGUCAUUGGAAACUGGAAAACUUGAGUGCAGAAGAGGAAAGUGGAAUUCCAUGUGUAGCGGUGAAAUGCGCAGAGAUAUGGAGGAACACCAGUGGCGAAGGCGACUUUCUGGUCUGUAACUGACGCUGAUGUGCGAAAGCGUGGGGAUCAAACAGGAUUAGAUACCCUGGUAGUCCACGCCGUAAACGAUGAGUGCUAAGUGUUAGGGGGUUUCCGCCCCUUAGUGCUGCAGCUAACGCAUUAAGCACUCCGCCUGGGGAGUACGACCGCAAGGUUGAAACUCAAAGGAAUUGACGGGGACCCGCACAAGCGGUGGAGCAUGUGGUUUAAUUCGAAGCAACGCGAAGAACCUUACCAAAUCUUGACAUCCUUUGACAACUCUAGAGAUAGAGCCUUCCCCUUCGGGGGACAAAGUGACAGGUGGUGCAUGGUUGUCGUCAGCUCGUGUCGUGAGAUGUUGGGUUAAGUCCCGCAACGAGCGCAACCCUUAAGCUUAGUUGCCAUCAUUAAGUUGGGCACUCUAAGUUGACUGCCGGUGACAAACCGGAGGAAGGUGGGGAUGACGUCAAAUCAUCAUGCCCCUUAUGAUUUGGGCUACACACGUGCUACAAUGGACAAUACAAAGGGCAGCGAAACCGCGAGGUCAAGCAAAUCCCAUAAAGUUGUUCUCAGUUCGGAUUGUAGUCUGCAACUCGACUACAUGAAGCUGGAAUCGCUAGUAAUCGUAGAUCAGCAUGCUACGGUGAAUACGUUCCCGGGUCU